CAGUCGCACGGUAAUACGUAGGGCGCAAGCGUUAUCCGGAAUUAUUGGGCGUAAAGAGCUCGUAGGCGGUUUGUCGCGUCUGCCGUGAAAGUCCGGGGCUCAACCCCGGAUCUGCGGUGGGUACGGGCAGACUAGAGUGAUGUAGGGGAGACUGGAAUUCCUGGUGUAGCGGUGAAAUGCGCAGAUAUCAGGAGGAACACCGAUGGCGAAGGCAGGUCUCUGGGCAUUAACUGACGCUGAGGAGCGAAAGCAUGGGGAGCGAACAGGAUUAGAUACCCGAGUAGUCCCUGUCUCUUAUACA
This 301-nucleotide ribosomal RNA is filed under the name uncultured bacterium. RNAcentral describes it as "partial 16S ribosomal RNA". It matches the Rfam family "Bacterial small subunit ribosomal RNA", at positions 509 to 808 of the family's 1533-position model. The record is from RNAcentral.